GCUCACCAAGGCGACGAUCCCUAGCUGGUCUGAGAGGAUGACCAGCCACACUGGAACUGAGACACGGUCCAGACUCCUACGGGAGGCAGCAGUGGGGAAUAUUGCACAAUGUGCGCAAGCCUGAUGCAUCCAUUGCCGCGUGUAUGAAGAAGGCCUUCGGGUUGUAAAGUACUUUCAGCGGGGAGGAAGGGAGUAAAGUUAAUACCUUUGCUCAUUGACGUUACCCGCAGAAGAAGCACCGGCUAACUCCGUGCCAGCAGCCGCGGUAAUACGGAGGGUGCAAGCGUUAAUCGGAAUUACUGGGCGUAAAGCGCACGCAGGCGGUUUGUUAAGUCAGAUGUGAAAUCCCCGGGCUCAACCUGGGAACUGCAUCUGAUACUGGCAAGCUUGAGUCUCGUAGAGGGGGGUAGAAUUCCAGGUGUAGCGGUG
Molecule: ribosomal RNA, 429 nt
Filed under: uncultured Pseudomonadota bacterium
Lineage: Bacteria; Pseudomonadati; Pseudomonadota
Description: bacterial SSU rRNA
Rfam family: Bacterial small subunit ribosomal RNA
Source: RNAcentral